This 109-nucleotide ribosomal RNA is filed under the name Salvator merianae (Argentine black and white tegu). The record is from RNAcentral. Lineage: Eukaryota; Metazoa; Chordata; Lepidosauria; Squamata; Teiidae.
GCCUACGGCNAUACCACCCUAAACACNCCUGAUCUNGGAAGCUAAGCAGGGUCNGGCCUGGUUAGUACUUGGAUGGGAGACCUCCUGGGAAUACCGGGUGCUGUAGGCU